AAAAAAGAUAUGUAUCACUAAUUAAGGCAGAUUUUCAAAGCAACUUUUAUUCUAUUUUAGAUUUAUUAAACACUAAUAGUCUCUCAAAGAAAGCUUCAUUAAAUGUGCCUGAGAUGAUUCUAAGAAAAGUUCUAAUUCAAAGGGUAACUCACCAUGAUCUUGAAUUUUACUUUUCCUACACAAAUAUGAUUUACAAUAAUGAAAACAUGAUUUUUGCCACUAUUAACAUUUUUAUAAAGAUGUUUUAUAGUGCCCCAAAAUGUUUCUAAAUAUUCUGUAUUCAUGUCUUUUUACCAUUUCUUUUUGCCUAUUUAGAAGCGUAAACUUGGUUCAAAUAGCGAGUCUGUGCUGCCACCUGCUGGAAAAUGUGAGAAAAUUGUCUGUUUUAAUGGAAUAGCAGUGAUGUAUGCUGCAUUAAAUAAGAAAACUCAGGAAGAUCCAGACACACGCAGAGGUAAGACCAUUUAAAGAUGGAAAGAAGAUUACUGUCUACAAGACAAGGAAAGAGGCCGUAGAAGAAACCAACCAGGCCAAAACUUUCAUCUCAGACUUCUAGCCUUCAGAACUGUGAGAAUAUAAAUUUAUGUUGUUUAAGUCAGUGUGUGGUAUUUUGUUAUAACAGCCCUAGCAAAUGAAUAUAGUACCUCUGUUAUCUUUAGAUUAUUACUGCUACUAUGCCGUAUCUUUUCCAUCCCUUCACUUUUAAUGUCUCUCUCUUAAAGAUUUCUUGAUGACAACAUAUAGGUGGGUCUCAACUUUGUAUCCACUCUAUCUUUUAAUUGGUAUACUUAGACCAUUGAAGUUUAAAGUGAUUAUUGACAUAUUUGGAUUCAUGUCUAUCAUUCUGUAACUGCUUUCUAUCCGUUGUUCUUGUUAUUUUUGUGUAUACAUUUAUGGGUCACAUAUGAUGUUUUGAUGCUGGGAUACAAUGUGUAAUCACCAAAUCAGGAUAAUUGGGAUAUCCAUCACCUCAAGC
Molecule: long non-coding RNA, 976 nt
Filed under: Homo sapiens (human)
Lineage: Eukaryota; Metazoa; Chordata; Mammalia; Primates; Hominidae
Description: HSALNT0204659
Source: RNAcentral